Molecule: long non-coding RNA, 2437 nt
Organism: Anolis carolinensis (green anole)
Lineage: Eukaryota; Metazoa; Chordata; Lepidosauria; Squamata; Anolidae
Exons: 2
Source: RefSeq, a predicted model, not a curated record
AACCUCUGAGGAUGUCUGCCACAGAUGUGGGUAAAAUGUCCGGAGAGAAUGCUUCAGGAACAUGGCUAUAGAGCCCGGAAAACUCAUAGCAACCCAGCCAGUAGGCUGUUGCUGAACAACCUAUGCACUUUUAGCAUCAAAGGAAAAAAUGCCCAGGAUUUUCUCACUUAAUAUACAAACUGUUGGCAUGUCUGGGGAAAAAGAAUAGAAUGCUUCUAUACCAGGCAAGGGCAAACUUUGCCCAUGUCUGGUGUUAGGAAUUGUGGGAGUUGAAAUCCAAAACAAUCUGACAGAAAACUGGGAGUUGUAGUUUGGCAUGCUACUGGCUCUCUUCUGCAGGGAAGGCUAGGUAGGGAGUUUGUAAAACUACAACUCACAUGAUUACAUGGCACUGAAUCUGUUGCAAAUGAGCUGGUGCCAUAAUCCUCCUGGAGAGAUCUCUUAAAGGGAUAUCCUCUGGCUCUUAAGGAUUCCCAUUAGAAAGGCUUGCCUGCCUCAGGUGUUCCCCUUUAAGGCUAACUGGCUCUUGGGUAAGUCUGGAAAGAGCAAAACCAAACCGGGGAAGAGACUUUUUUCCUAAGAGGGAGAAAGAGAAAGAGGCUGGUGCUGGGUCCCUUCUUUCUUCCCUCCCUCCCUGCUUUCUCCCUCUCCCUCGCUCUCUCUCCACCUCUCCGACCUCUCUCUCUCUCUCUCUCUCUCUCUCUCUCUCUCUCUCUGCGACCUCUCAGAGAGAGAGAGAGAGAGAGAGACGCAGGGAGGAAGAGAGAGCCAUGCCCACUGCUGAAGAAGGUGGAAGGCUUCAACUGAGCCGGCUGAAAAGGCAAGGACCCAAAAAGAAGAGCAUGUAUAUCAUCCAGCCUUCACACAGGGUGACUUGACACAGUCUAGACAGCCAUGUGGAUUCGUCUGAAGAGACGCUGUGGCUCCUUCCUGCUGUGUUUGAUCCACGACGGGUUCUACUGCAUUGAUUCAGCUUGGGAACUACUGUGCCAGCUCAAAACCUAAGCCAAUGAUGGAUUGAAAAAUACAUUUUAUCGCCCCCGCAGAAGCGGUUCAAUAUAAGUGAUAUGUGGCUGGUUAUGGUGAGCCACGUCUCUUGUGGUUAGUCCUUAUUGGCCCUAAGUGAUUUUUAAGGUGGAUUUAGCAAAGCAGAAACCAAAUAUCUUGGUCUCUCUUAAUGGCACUCCUUUUUUUUAUACCCAUAAAGGAUCAAAUGUUUUUUCCCCUCCUUUUGGUUCUCAGAUAUCUAGCCAGCUGGCUUAUAAGAAUAAUACGAGUUAGUUAUUUGGCAAUUUCCUGAUGAACGGUCUCCAGAUCAGAGACUUCAUAUUCAUCCUGUGGGCAAAUUUACAAACAGAGGCCUCAGCCUUUUCAUGAAAGGCCACAAUCCCCAUGUUGCUGCUCUGUUCCUGCCAACAUGUUGUGUAAGUGCACCAACUUUGCCAGAGAACUCUAAAUUCCUCCUUCUGUCUCUAUCAUGACUUCUUGUAUAACAAUGGAUUGUGACUAGAAACUCGAUAUGGCGGGCUGUUAAAUGGUAAUUCAAUUAUAUGAUUCAUAUUGUGUUUCAAAGUGUAUGAAAAUAUUUCCUUCCUUGGAGUUUGUGGUUUCUUGUUUUACUCUCACACAAUAAGCAUAAAGAUGAUGAGUAUUAACAUUUGUAGUGUGCCCUAUAUCCCGGUCUCCAAUCCUCAUAUAUUUUUUUAAAAAAUCAGUGAAUCAUUGAAAUGCCAGAGUUACAGGUGUAUCUUAGGAAGGAAAAUUAAUAAUCCAGUGGGAUUGAUUGAUUUACUAUGGGCCAAACACCUGAAGCCAUUCUUUUCAAGUGUUGUUGGCAUGUGUUAAUAUAAUCCACCUUUUCUUUACGUAAUUUCCUCAGUUUUUCAAGACAAAGCAAACAGCUCAUAAUAAUGACACACUCUUCUAAGCCACAACUUAGCACGUGGUGAACUAAUUCAAACCAGGCCCACUUAAAUCCUGUGUGUUUUCCCCCCUUCUCCUCUUUUCCCCAUCUCCACAUGUGAACUAAAUGAGUCGGUCAAACCUUUCAAGCUAGAAAAAACAGUAUCCGAAUGUUUAUGCCUAGAAUCCUAAGAAGUGUAAAUGCCACAACUGAACUCAGUGGAACUCGCUUCUGAGGGAAAGUGUUUAGGAUUGGACUAUAAAUGUAUUUAAUCCAUAGAAAGCCAUUCAAAAACCACUUAAAAACAAAUUUGGAUCACCUUUGGUUUGGCUCAAGUUCAGCAACAAGACAGGAUAUAUAGUUAAGGUUCAGCUCUAUUUCGGAUUUUACAAACCAACAACUUACUUCAUUCUUCCAUUGUCAUCCUGUCAUUUAAAAAGUCCACAGCAAAAAAACAAAACAAAAAACUCUACUGUGCCAUUCCAGGUAUUCUCUUAUGCUUUCUUUUAAAAAUAUACACAUUGCUUCACUCGA